Small nuclear RNA from Apodemus sylvaticus (European woodmouse), 106 nucleotides. Lineage: Eukaryota; Metazoa; Chordata; Mammalia; Rodentia; Muridae. The record is from RefSeq and is a predicted model, not a curated record.
UUUCUCUUAGGCAGGACAUGCACUAAAAUUGGAAGUAUACAGAGAAGAUUAGCCUGACCCCUUGCACAAGGAAGACAUGUAAAUUCAUGAAGCAUUCCAUACUUCA